Molecule: long non-coding RNA, 576 nt
Filed under: Carica papaya (papaya)
Lineage: Eukaryota; Viridiplantae; Streptophyta; Magnoliopsida; Brassicales; Caricaceae
Description: long non-coding RNA (CPAP_LNC008243)
Source: RNAcentral
UUUUCAUCGUCAGUUGCAUCACACAUCAAUAUUUAUCUCAAGCAUUAAAUCAUUUAAAUUAUCACAUGCAAAUAAUAAGUUCAUAUAAGUUCAUAAAACAUUCAUUAACACAUAAAAUUUCUUUAUUUAAGCAUAAAAUUUAAUCACGCGAUCAUUAAUUUAAAUUUUGUUAAUUUUACUCUAGAAAAGCUCCUCAGUAUCUUCAAAAGUAAAUACUAAAUUCUCUACUGAAACCCUGGUGUUUCCUACACCAUUUCUUCUUCUCCUCCUCUUCCUCUCUCUCUAGAUCAUUCCUCAUCUCUCUAAAGCUCUUCGGUGGAUGGAAGAAUCAAAUGGAAGUGAUGAGGAAAUGGUGAAGUGAAGGUCCCUAUUUAUAAAAAAUGGAAAUCGUUAGAUUUGUACGAAGUGGCAAAAUCUAGUAAAGAGAGAGAAAGUCACUCAGAAAGGUGAUAUGUGCCGACUGACAGAUGUGACCGAUGGAUGGACGACGCGAUGUUAUAGUAGUGCAAAAACUGGAGGCACACCACCCAAACAAUGGCGACACGUCACGCAAGCGACGACGACACACUGCCCAAG